GCUGUCUCGGCUCAGGGCGGGGAGGAGGCGCUUCUGCCUCCCCCCACUGGCUGCUGUCGCCUGGCGGGGGAGGCACUGCUGGCUGGGCCGGGCGGGGGCGUAGCGGCAACCGCCUCCCCCCACUCUCCCAAGGAGGUGCGGGCACCGCGGUCCCUCCCAGUCCCUGGGAGCCUCUCUGCCGUCCCCCUUGGGCCUCUCAAGGAAGCUUCUCUGGCCGCUGUGGAUAUUGGUUUUUGUUGGACUUGGAAUUGGGAAUUGAGGGCGACUGGGGGACGCCGGGACAGAGGGCGAUGCAGCAAAGCCCAGCUGCUUUGGCAGCCCGGCAGCGUUCUUCUCAGGGUGGAAGCCGAGGGAUGGCAUCUUCCUUUCACCAUUUGGAAGAAAUUUUGGAAUGAACAAUACCUUUUCUCCCUCUGAAAUACUGCUUCCUGAGCUUUAAGGAGGCAUAGCCAGAUCUUGCUGAUUUCCUGACGCUGACCACACGGGAUGGAGGCUGGUCCUCACCCUAAGAAGAGAGAGCCUCCCCAACCCCAAGAAGGAAGGGAAAGAGGAUGGCUCUCUGGGUCCCUGUGAGAUGGGAAUGUUCCCACUUUCUCUCUGGAUUCUCUGCAAAAGACAGCAAGAUACCCCAGGGGAUAUUGGUGGAAAAGAUGAAUGCAUAGGAAUCAAGCUGAAGGAAGAGAAAGAAGGAAAGAAAAGAAACCAGUGAAGCACAGAUGUGCAGACCAGAGGAGGAAUUGUCCUAACUAUUGUUCCUAUGACAAUUGAAAAUAAAUGUAGUUUUUACUCUGCGUGGC
RNAcentral lists this long non-coding RNA (797 nucleotides) under Sus scrofa (pig). Its description in RNAcentral is "lncRNA (ENSSSCG00055024311.1)". Lineage: Eukaryota; Metazoa; Chordata; Mammalia; Artiodactyla; Suidae. The record is from RNAcentral.